GUGGGGAAUCUUCCGCAAUGGGCGCAAGCCUGACGGAGCAACGCCGCGUGAGUGAAGAAGGUUUUCGGAUCGUAAAGCUCUGUUGUCAGGGACGAGAGACUUGAUCAGGAAAUGGGUCAAGGAGGACGGUACCUGGCGAGAAAGCCACGGCUAACUACGUGCCAGCAGCCGCGGUAAUACGUAGGUGGCGAGCGUUGUCCGGAAUUAUUGGGCGUAAAGGGAGCGCAGGUGGGAAGGUAAGUCAGUCUUAAAAGUUCGGGGCUCAACCCCGUGAUGGGAUUGAAACUAUUUUUCUUGAGUGCAGGAGAGGAAAGCGGAAUUCCUAGUGUAGCGGUGAAAUGCGUAGAUAUUAGGAGGAACACCAGUGGCGAAGGCGGCUUUCUGGACUGUAACUGACACUGAGGCUCGAAAGCGUGGGGAGCGAACAGG
This 429-nucleotide ribosomal RNA is filed under the name uncultured rumen bacterium. Its description in RNAcentral is "bacterial SSU rRNA". It matches the Rfam family "Bacterial small subunit ribosomal RNA", at positions 354 to 776 of the family's 1533-position model. The record is from RNAcentral.